UCACCCGCCGCGGGAGACGCCGUCCGCCACCGCUCGUCGGUGCGUCCGGCACCGAAGGAGCAACCUCCCCGCCAAUCUCUCAGGUCCAACACCGCAGCGGACAG
This 104-nucleotide non-coding RNA is filed under the name Curtobacterium sp. RNAcentral's name for it is "Glycine sequence". It matches the Rfam family "Glycine riboswitch aptamer". Rfam says of the family: This family represents the bacterial glycine riboswitch. Glycine riboswitches usually consist of two metabolite-binding aptamers domains with similar structures in tandem. Lineage: Bacteria; Bacillati; Actinomycetota; Actinomycetes; Micrococcales; Microbacteriaceae. The record is from RNAcentral.